RNAcentral lists this unclassified non-coding RNA (430 nucleotides) under soil metagenome. RNAcentral's name for it is "partial contains 5.8S ribosomal RNA, internal transcribed spacer 2, and large subunit ribosomal RNA". The stretch from base 1 to 120 matches the Rfam family "5.8S ribosomal RNA", at positions 35 to 154 of the family's 154-position model. The record is from RNAcentral.
GAUGAAGAACGCAGCGAAAUGCGAUACGUAAUGUGAAUUGCAGAAUUCAGUGAAUCAUCGAAUCUUUGAACGCAUAUUGCGCUCUCUGGUAUUCCGGAGAGCAUGCUUGUUUGAGUAUCAGUAAACACCUCAACUCCCUAUUCUUUUUUGAAAUUGGAGCUGGACUUGAGUGAUCCCAACGCUUUCUUCCAAGAAAGUGGCGGGUUGCUUGAAAUGCAGGUGCAGCUGAACUUUUCUCUGAGCUAUAAGCAUAUCUAUUUAGUCUGCCUAAAAAACAGAUUAUUACCUUUGCUGCAGCUAACAUAAAGGAGACUAGUUCUUGUGCUGACUGAUGCAGGAUUCACAGAGACAGCUUCGGCUGACUUUGUAAACUCGAUCUCAAAUCAAGUAAGACUACCCGCUGAACUUAAGCAUAUCAAUAAGCGGAGGA